GUGAGGUGAUGACAAAGUUUAUCCAUUCUCUGAGUGCAGUGGCGCCGCCCUCCUGCAGCACCCCGAUUCCUGUUCUAGGGUCUGGGUGCUGUGCAGCCUCCAGAGACUCUCCAGUCUCCCAG
This 122-nucleotide small nucleolar RNA is filed under the name Buteo japonicus. RNAcentral describes it as "Small nucleolar RNA SNORD17 (ENSBJAG00000002136.1)". It matches the Rfam family "Small nucleolar RNA SNORD17", at positions 1 to 121 of the family's 238-position model. Rfam says of the family: The snoRNA HBI-43 belongs to the C/D family of snoRNAs, guiding 2'O-ribose methylation at position U3797 of the 28S rRNA. Pseudouridylation in position U3797 is predicted to be guided by the H/ACA snoRNA ACA48. Lineage: Eukaryota; Metazoa; Chordata; Aves; Accipitriformes; Accipitridae. The record is from Rfam by way of RNAcentral.